This 1372-nucleotide ribosomal RNA is filed under the name uncultured bacterium. RNAcentral describes it as "bacterial SSU rRNA". It matches the Rfam family "Bacterial small subunit ribosomal RNA", at positions 28 to 1381 of the family's 1533-position model. The record is from RNAcentral.
GAUGAACGCUGGCGGCGUGCCUAAUACAUGCAAGUCGAGCGAACAGAUAAGGAGCUUGCUCCUUUGACGUUAGCGGCGGACGGGUGAGUAACACGUGGGUAACCUACCUAUAAGACUGGGAUAACUUCGGGAAACCGGAGCUAAUACCGGAUAACAUUUGGAACCGCAUGGUUCUAAAGUGAAAGAUGGUUUUGCUAUCACUUAUAGAUGGACCCGCGCCGUAUUAGCUAGUUGGUAAGGUAACGGCUUACCAAGGCAACGAUACGUAGCCGACCUGAGAGGGUGAUCGGCCACACUGGAACUGAGACACGGUCCAGACUCCUACGGGAGGCAGCAGUAGGGAAUCUUCCGCAAUGGGCGAAAGCCUGACGGAGCAACGCCGCGUGAGUGAUGAAGGGUUUCGGCUCGUAAAACUCUGUUAUUAGGGAAGGACAAACGUGUAAGUAACUGUGCACGUCUUGACGGUACCUAAUCAGAAAGCCACGGCUAACUACGUGCCAGCAGCCGCGGUAAUACGUAGGUGGCAAGCGUUAUCCGGAAUUAUUGGGCGUAAAGCGCGCGUAGGCGGUUUCUUAAGUCUGAUGUGAAAGCCCACGGCUCAACCGUGGAGGGUCAUUGGAAACUGGGAAACUUGAGUGCAGAAGAGGAAAGUGGAAUUCCAUGUGUAGCGGUGAAAUGCGCAGAGAUAUGGAGGAACACCAGUGGCGAAGGCGACUUUCUGGUCUGUAACUGACGCUGAUGUGCGAAAGCGUGGGGAUCAGACAGGAUUAGAUACCCUGGUAGUCCACGCCGUAAACGAUGAGUGCUAAGUGUUAGGGGGUUUCCGCCCCUUAGUGCUGCAGCUAACGCAUUAAGCACUCCGCCUGGGGAGUACGACCGCAAGGUUGAAACUCAAAGGAAUUGACGGGGACCCGCACAAGCGGUGGAGCAUGUGGUUUAAUUCGAAGCAACGCGAAGAACCUUACCAAAUCUUGACAUCCUUUGAAAACUCUAGAGAUAGAGCCUUCCCCUUCGGGGGACAAAGUGACAGGUGGUGCAUGGUUGUCGUCAGCUCGUGUCGUGAGAUGUUGGGUUAAGUCCCGCAACGAGCGCAACCCUUAAGCUUAGUUGCCAUCAUUAAGUUGGGCACUCUAGGUUGACUGCCGGUGACAAACCGGAGGAAGGUGGGGAUGACGUCAAAUCAUCAUGCCCCUUAUGAUUUGGGCUACACACGUGCUACAAUGGACAAUACAAAGGGCAGCUAAACCGCGAGGUCAUGCAAAUCCCAUAAAGUUGUUCUCAGUUCGGAUUGUAGUCUGCAACUCGACUACAUGAAGCUGGAAUCGCUAGUAAUCGUAGAUCAGCAUGCUACGGUGAAUACGUUCCCGGGUCU